Molecule: long non-coding RNA, 553 nt
Filed under: Brassica rapa (field mustard)
Lineage: Eukaryota; Viridiplantae; Streptophyta; Magnoliopsida; Brassicales; Brassicaceae
Description: long non-coding RNA (BRAP_LNC000350)
Source: RNAcentral
GCAAAAGCAUUUUUAUUUUUCUUUUUCUAGUUUCAUAGUUUAUUCUUCUUUUACUCAUAGCCGAGAGGUUUGUUAAUUUAUGAAUCUUUCAGUGCAAUUUGAUUUUCUAAUUUUUUUUAAGAAUUCGAUUUUGUAAUUCACGUUUUCUAUUAUUGUCCUCUUUCUCUUGAAACAUAUAUUUUCUCUCUGUAAUUUUUUCAUGUCGAUCUUAUAUGGUUUUUUAUGUUUAAAAAUUAAACUUGGGUUAUCUGAUGGUUUCAAAAUCAGAUUUUAAUUUCUGACUCUGCUUAUAUUUUAUUUUGAAAAUAAAUUUCAUAAUAAAGUCCAAAAAUCAUAAUUUGUUUCUUUUUUUAAUAUCCUUGUUACUGUAAAAUUUUAAAUGGUAAAACAACAUAUUUAUCUCAACACACAAAUUUAUUUUAAACAUAUCUAAUAAUAAUAAUAUUAUUAUUUUCUAAUUUAUAUUUCAAUUAUUAAAAUAUAUAAUUUGGAUUAAAAAUGUCAAUUUAUAUUUACUAAAGUGUAAUUAAAAGAUAGAAUGUGUAGUUUUAAA